This 406-nucleotide ribosomal RNA is filed under the name Stenasellus breuili. RNAcentral describes it as "partial 16S ribosomal RNA". It matches the Rfam family "Archaeal large subunit ribosomal RNA", at positions 2035 to 2666 of the family's 2987-position model. The record is from RNAcentral. Lineage: Eukaryota; Metazoa; Arthropoda; Malacostraca; Isopoda; Stenasellidae.
AGCAUAAUCAUUUGCUUCUUAAUUGGCAGCUAGGAUGAAAGAGUUGACGAAAAAUAAUCUAUUUUAUAAAUUAUUUAAAUUAACAUUAAGGUUAAAAGGCUUUAGUGGAUUAGAGGGACGAUAAGACCCUAUGAAAUUUUACAAAUGCUAAUUUUCACUGUAAAGAAUAGUAAUUUUAGCAUUAGUUGAGCUGGGGCGGUAAAAAUAAUAACUAUUUUAUAUUAAAUACUUAAAGUAAAUUUUAAGAACAUUUAUACAUAAAUUUGAAUAAAUUACUCUAGGGAUAACAGCACAAUUUUCUCAGAUAGAUCUUAUUGGCGAGAGAGUUUGUGACCUCGAUGUUGAAUUGGGAUUACUUGUUUAAGCAUAAAUAAAUAAUGUCAGUCUGUUCGACCGUUAAUUUCCC